AUUGAACGCUGGCGGAAUGCUUUACACAUGCAAGUCGAGCGGCAGCGCGGCCUUCGGGCUGGCGGCGAGCGGCGAACGGGUGAGUAAUGCAUCGGAACAUGCCCAGUCGUGGGGGAUAACACUUCGAAAGAAGUGCUAAUACCGCAUACGUCCUGAGGGGGAAAGCGGGGGAUCGCAAGACCUCGCGCGAUUGGAGUGGCCGAUGUCAGAUUAGCUAGUUGGUGGGGUAAAGGCCUACCAAGGCGACGAUCUGUAGCUGGUCUGAGAGGAUGAUCAGCCACACUGGGACUGAGACACGGCCCAGACUCCUACGGGAGGCAGCAGUGGGGAAUUUUGGACAAUGGGGGCAACCCUGAUCCAGCCAUUCCGCGUGAGUGAAGAAGGCCUUCGGGUUGUAAAGCUCCUUCGGCAGGAACGAAACGGUGGGCUCUAACAUAGUCCGCUAAUGACGGUACCUGAAGAAGAAGCACCGGCUAACUACGUG
This 484-nucleotide ribosomal RNA is filed under the name uncultured bacterium. RNAcentral describes it as "partial 16S ribosomal RNA". It matches the Rfam family "Bacterial small subunit ribosomal RNA", at positions 29 to 507 of the family's 1533-position model. The record is from RNAcentral.